CCCUUAGAUGUUCUGGGCCGCACGCGCGCUACACUGAUGGAUUCAACAAGUGUUGUUCUUCGGAGCAGAUCCUUGGUCGGAAGGCCUGGGCAAUCUUGUAAAUGUCCAUCGUGAUGGGGCUAGAUUUUUGCAAUUCUGAAUCUCCAACGAGGAAUUCCUAGUAAACGCAAGUCAUCAGCUUGCAUUGAUUACGUCCCUGCCCUUUGUACACACCGCCCGUCGCACCUACCGAUUGAACGGUCCGGUGAAAUCUCGGGACGGCGGCUUGGUCGCUUGCGUCCGACUGCUGAAACUUGAUUAAACCAUAUCAUUUAGAGGAAGGUGAAGUCGUAACA
RNAcentral lists this ribosomal RNA (335 nucleotides) under uncultured eukaryote. Its description in RNAcentral is "partial 18S ribosomal RNA". It matches the Rfam family "Eukaryotic small subunit ribosomal RNA", at positions 1470 to 1796 of the family's 1831-position model. The record is from RNAcentral.